Schistosoma margrebowiei is the source of this 45-nucleotide non-coding RNA. Lineage: Eukaryota; Metazoa; Platyhelminthes; Trematoda; Strigeidida; Schistosomatidae. The record is from Rfam.
AUCCAGCUGACGAGCCCCAAAUGAAACGAAACAUGCGUCCUAGAU